This 98-nucleotide transfer RNA is filed under the name Lentinula raphanica. RNAcentral describes it as "tRNA-Asp". Lineage: Eukaryota; Fungi; Basidiomycota; Agaricomycetes; Agaricales; Omphalotaceae. The record is from RNAcentral.
UCCCUGGUAGUAUAUCGGUUUAGUACACGCGCCUGUCAUAACUGCUGAGUUUCGCAGCCUUUACGCGCGAAAGCUGGGUUCGACUCCCAGCCAGGGAG